AGAGCAGCUGGCAGCGCGGCGGGCAGCGUUUGCCGAGCGGGCGCUCCGGGUCGCACGCAAGUCCGCGCGGGGUCCGGGCCACGCACGCGGUUUCAUCGCCAUCCCCAGCCGGGCCACGCGCGCAGGCAGACAAGCUGUUCGCGGCGACCGGAGAGCGCCGACACCAUGUGGAUCCAGGUUCGGACCAUGGACGGGAGGCAGACCCACACGGUGGACUCGCUGUCCAGGCUGACCAAGGUCAGAGCAAGCAUCUUCCUGACAGCAUUUUGUCAUCUAAAGUCCAGUGACAUGGUUCCCCGUGGUGGCCCGUGGCAGCCCGUGGCAUGGCGUGGCUCAGCUGUCUGUUGAAGUUGUUGCAAGGAAAAGAGGAAACAUCUCGGGCCUAGUUCAAACCUUUGCCUCAAAGCCAUCCCCCACCAGACUGCUUAGCGUCUGAGAUCCGCGUGAAAAGUCCUCUGCCCACGAGAGCAGGGAGUUGGGGCCACGCAGAAAUGGCCUCAAGGGGACUCUGCUCCACGUGGGGCCAGGCGUGUGACUGACGCUGUCCGACGAAGGCGGCCACGGACGGACGCCAGCACACGAAGUCACGUGCAAGUGCCUUUGAUUCGUUCCUUCUUUCUAAAGACGACAGUCUUUGUUGUUAGCACUGAAUUAUUGAAAAUGUCAACCAGAUUCUAGAAACUGCGGUCAUCCAGUUCUUCCUGACACCGGAUGGGUGCUUGGGAACCGUUUGAGCCUUAUAGAUCAUUUACAUUCAAUUUUUUUAACUCAGCAAGUGAGAACUUACAAGAGGGUUUUUUUAAAAUUUUUUUUUCUCUUAAUGAACACAUUUUCUAAAUGAAUUUUUUUUGUAGUUACUGUAUAUGUACCAAGAAAGAUAUAACGUUAGGGUUUGGUUGUUUUUGUUUUUGUAUUUUUUUUCUUUUGAAAGGGUUUGUUAAUUUUUCUAAUUUUACCAAAGUUUGCAGCCUAUACCUCAAUAAAACAGGGAUAUUUUAAAUCACAUACCUGCAGACAAACUGGAGCAAUGUUAUUUUUAAAGGGUUUUUUUCACCUCCUUAUUCUUAGAUUAUUAAUGUAUUAGGGAAGAAUGAGACAAUUUUGUGUAGGCUUUUUCUAAAGUCCAGUACUUUGUCCAGAUUUUAGAUUCUCAGAAUAAAUGUUUUUCACAGAUAGACUUGAUUGUGUCUUCCUAUUUGCAAACUGCCUUUGGAGCUUUCUGUCUACUUUUGUGCACUAUUUUACAAAAAUCCCAGGAGAAACAUGAGGCAGGUGGCUUCAGCCCCACUUUACAGAUGAGAAAACUGAGACCCAGGAGAUGACGGUGACGGGCUGAGGUCCUAACCGCAGCCUGGGAGGUGCUGGGCUGUUCACUUUGCAGCGUCAAGUUGCAGGGGUCAGCAAACGACAGCCAAUGGGACCCAAGUCAGGACACUGCCUGUCUGUAAAUAAAGUUUUAUUGACACCACCACACCCAUUUCUUUAUGUAUAUAGUGGCGUUUACGCUACCAUCAGCAGAACUGAGUAGGUACAGCAGAAACCAUCUGGACCACAAAGCUGAAAAAUACUCACUGCCUGGCCAGCAAAGCUUGCUGGUCUCUUCUCUUGGGAGGAUGACUUGAGUGUAGGAGUCUGAGACCAGCCUGUAGACCCCAACUCUACAAAUAAAUAAAAAUAUUAGCCAGGUGUGGUGGUGUGUUUCUGUAGUCCCAGCUACUCAGGAGGUUGAGGCAGGAGGCUGAUUGCUUGAGCCCCAGAGCUAGAGGCUGCAGUGAACUUUGAUUGCACCACGGUACUCCAGCCUGGGCAACAGAAUGAGAUGCUGUCUUUAAAAACGUUUUAAAAAAAAAAAAUCGGGACGGUAAAGGGGCUGCGUCUUGCAGAUUAAUUAAUUCACAUCAACCUAUUACUGGUGCCUUUUAUUGAUGGUUAAGUAACCAUAUGGGCAGAUUUGUUUUGUUUUUGAGACAGUCUUGCCCUGUUGUCCAGGCUGGAGUGCAAUGGUGUGAUCACAGCUCAUUGCAGCCUCCAACUCCUGGGCUCAAGUGAUCCUCCCAUCUCAGCCUCCCGAGUAGCUGGUACCACAGGCAUGCAGCACCAUAACUGGCAAAUUUAAUUUUUUUUUUUUUUUUUUUGGAGAGACGGGAUCUCAUUCUGUUGCCCAGGCUGGUCUCCAACUCCUGUGAUUAGGCGAUCCUCCCAUCUCAGCCUCCCAAAGUGCUGGGAUUACAGACGUGAGCCACCACGUGCAGCCUGGAGUUUCUUUUUGAGGUGGUAAAAAUGUUCUAAAAUUGAUGGUUGCACAUGUCUGUGGAUAUACUAAAAUCCACAGAAUUGUGCACUUUAUUUUUUAUUUUUAUUUUUUCCUUUUUUUUUUUUUGAGACGGAGUCUUGCUCUGUUGCCCAGGCUGGAGUGCAGUGGCGUGAUCUCGGCUCACUGCAAGCUCCGCCUCCCGGGUUCACGCCAUUCUUCUGCCUCAGCCUCCCAAGUAGCUGGGACUACAGGUGCCCGCCACCACACCCGGCUAAUUUUUUUGUAUUUUUAGUAAAGACAGGGUUUCACCGUGUUAGCCGGGAUGGUCUCGAUCUCCUGACCUCGUGAUCCGCCCCCCUCGGCCUCCCAAAGUGCUGGGAUUACAGGCGUGAGCCACCGCGCCCGGCCAGAAUUGUGCACUUUAAGUGGGUGAAUUGUAUGGUAUGUGGAUUAUACCAGAAAUAUGUCAAGUGUGAACGUGAAGAUAAGAUUCCCAGUUCUUGAAGGAAACUCCAUAAAUGUCCCCAGUGGGCCCUUCCUAGAAAACACUAAAGUGGGUUCAUUGUUGAGAUUGCUGCCUUCUUUUUGAUUUUUCUCUCCCUUUAAAGAACAAUGUCAUGUUUAAAAAAAUGAGCAAAACCCAGAAAAGUAUUUGUGGAACUGUUUUGCCACCGACUCUAAUCUUGGGCAUAUUUCUUUCCUGGUUCACUUAAAAAAAUUUCUUUGGCCGGGUGCGAUGGCUCACACCUGUAAUCGCAGCACUUUAGGAGGCUGAGGUGGGCGGAUCACCUGAGGUCAGGAGUUUGAGACCAGCCUGUCCAACAUGGUGAAACCCCAUCUCUACUAAAAAUACAAAAAUAAGCUGGGCAUGAUGGUAUGAACCUGCAAUCCCAGCUACUUGGGAGGCUGAGACAGGAGAAUCGCUUGAACCCAGGAGGUGGAGUUUGCAGUGAGCCGAGAUCACACCACUGCACUCCAGCCUGGGCAACAGAGCGAGACUCUGUCUCAAAAAAAAAAAAAAAAAAAAAAAAGUCUUUGAUUCAAGAUCUCACUUUGUCACCCAGGCUGGAGUACAGUGGUGGUGUCAUCAUAGCUCACUGCAGCCUCAAACUCCCAUGCGCAAGCAAUCCUCCUGCCUCAGCCUCCUGAGUAGCUGGGACUACUACAGGUGCAAACCACCAUGCCUGGCUACUUUUUUAAAGAGAGAGAUAUAUAUUUUAGUAGAGAGAAGUCUCACUUUGUUGCCCAGGCUGGUCUGGAACUCCUGGUCUCAAGCCAUCUUCCUGUCUGGGUCUCCCAAAGUGCUGGGAUUACAGAUGUGAACUACCAUGCCCACCCUAAAAAUCUUUAACAGCUCUAUGGAGAUAACAGUUCAGGUAAUAUAAAGGUCACCCUUUUAAAGCAUACAGUUCAGUGGUUUUAUUUUACUGUGUUGUUUUUGAGACAGUCUCGCUCUGUGGCCCAGGCUGGAGUGCAGUGGCAAGAUCUCUGCUUACUGCAACCUCCCCCUCCCGAGUUCAAGUGAUUCUUCUGCCUCGGCCUCCCAAGUAGCUGGGAUUACAGGCAUGCACCACCAUGCCCGCCUAAUUUUCAUAUUUUUAGUAGAGACAGGGUUUCACCAUGUUGGUCAGGCUGGUCUCGAACUCCCGACCUCAGGUGAUCCACUCGCCUCGGCCUCCCAAAGUGUUGGGAUUACUGGUGUGAGCCACCAUGCCUGGCCAGCUUAGUGGUUUUAGUAUAGUCAAUACAGUUAUGCAGCCAUCACCACCAUCUAAUUACAGAACUUUAACAUCCACACAAAAAGAAACCUCACACCCUUCCGCAGUCUUGCCCUGUGUCCCUCCCCCAGGCCCUGCAAGCCACGAAUCCUCUUUCUAUCCUUAUGGAUUUGCCUGUCCUGGACAUUUCAUAUAAAUGGAAUUAUACUGUAUUUUGUGUCUGGCUUCUGUCACUAAGGAUGGAAUUUUCGAGGUUCAUCUGCAUUGUAGCCUGUGUCAGAGCUUUAUUCCUUUUCAUGGCUGAGUAAUAUUCCACUGUACGGAUGGGCCACCUUUCUAUAAUCCCCGUUUGACUUGUUUUAAGAUGUAGUCUUGCUCUGUUGCCCAGGCUGGAGUGCAGUGGCAUAAUCUCGGCUCUACAACCUCCACCUCCUGGGUUCAAGUGAUUCUCCUGCCUCAGCCUCCGGAGUAGUUGGGAUUACAGGUGUGCACCACCAUGCCUGGCUAAUUUUUUUGUAUUUUUGGUAGAGACGGUGUUUCACCAUGUUGGCCAGGCUGGUCUCGAACUCCUGACCUCAAGUGAUCUGCCCUCUUCGGUCUCCCAAAGUGCUGGGAUUACAGGCGUGAGCCAUGAAGCCCAGUCCCCAACUGCUUUUUUUUUUUUUUGGAGAUAGUCUCCAUGGCCCAGGCUGGAGUGCAGUGGUGUAAUCUCAGCUCACUGCAGCUGCCUCCUCCUGGAUUCAAGCAAUUCUCGGGCUUCCCCUCUCUAGUAGAUGGGACUACAGGCAUGCACCACCACACCUGGCCGAUUUUUGUACUUUUUGUAGAGAUGGGGUUUUUGCCAUGUUGGCCAGGCUGGUCUCGAACUCCCGGGCUCAAGUGAUCCUCCUGCCUCAGCCUCCCAAAGUGCUGGGAUUACAGCCACUGCACCUGGCCUCCCAUUUCAAUUUGUUAAUGCAGCAGACCAACCCAUAAGGGGAGGGGCAUCUAUUGAAGCAUUGAACAUUUUUGCGCUCCACACCUUGCCUGUCUAGAAAGAUUGAGGGAGACCAGUCAGAAAUUGAGCAUUGGGCCUGCUAACUGGGGGUUCCUUGACGUCUGAAAGCCAAGCCAAGCCUCCUGGUCUUGUUUAGGGGGAGGUCCCCAAGCAUUCCCUGCCCCAGUCCUUUGUGAGAUUUGCAUCUGACUGCAAAGGAUGGAAGAAAACCAGGGCAAUUAGGUGAGUGUUGCCUAAAUUAAUCUGCCCAUUAAAAUAUUCUAAAGAGCAUUUCCUUCCUUUUUGGAGGAUGAGGACUUCUACUUAUCUGACAGCAAUUCUAGUGUGUUUUUAACAUUUUAAUAUGAAGAGUUUCCAAAACUUGGAAAGAAUCGGAUUUGGAAAGAAUCGGAUGGUGAACCCUCAGACCUACCGUCUAGAUUCUAUGAUCAUGUUAAGUUUUUCUCAUAAGAGAUGGCAUGAAAACUUUGUCUAAGCAAAAUAAAGUGGAGAACCCAUUUGGGUUCCUCGGUUAAAAACAUUUAUAUUGUCUGUGAAAUCUAAACACCCCCCACUGUCUCAGAGAAUAUACUUGGAAGUAGAACAAAAAGCCCUAUGUAUGUGGUACGUGGGGUGGGGACUCUUUCCCUUCAUGAUUGCACUUUUUUUUUUUUUUGAGACAGGGUCUCAUUCUGUUGCCCAGGAGUGCAGUGGUGUGAUCAUGGCUCACUGCAGCCUCGACCUCCUGGGCUCAAGUGAUCCUCCCUCAGCCCCCAGUGUAGCUGGGACCACAGGCAUGUGCCCGCACAAUCAACUCGGUUUUUAUUUUUAGUAGAGAAGAGGUCUCGCUCUGUUGCCCAGGCUGGCCUGAAACUCCUGGGAUCAAGUGAUCCUCCCACCUUGGCCUCCCAAAGGGCUGGGAUUACAGAUGUGAGUCACUACACCCAGCCUGGGCAACAGCCUGUUUUUAAAUUUUGUUUUUACUUUUUAUUUUGAGACGGGGUUUGACUCUGUCACCCAGGCUGGAGUGCAGUGGUGUAAUCAACGGCUCACUGCAGCCUCCACUUCCCCGGGCUCAGGUGAUCCUUUCGCCUCAGCCCCCGAAUAGCUGGGAUUAUAGGCGCGUGUCACCACGCCCAACUUUUGUAAUUUUUUUGGUAGAGACGGAGUCUUGCUAUAUUGCCCAGCCUGUUCUCAAACUCGUGGGCUCAAGUGAUCUGCCCAUCUCAGCCUCCCAAAGUGCUGCGAUUCCAGGCAUGACCUGAAAUUAAAUCUCAACUCCAUGUGGAAUAUAUGAAUAUGGUCCCAUAAGAAUUUAAAACACCCAGAGCUUCUUAAAUUCUCCUUUGACUUCUCUUUUUACCAGUGUGCAGCUUUCCUUCUCUCCCCAAGGAUUAAGUUCGUUUCUUCAGUUUAGGAGUACCUUUUUCUGUGCAUUGACAAGCUUGUGUGCUCUUAACCUCAUGAUACCGGUUUCUGUGUGUGUUUCCAUAUUUAUUUUAUUGAGUACAGGAUUCUGGACCACUGUCCCUAGCUCAGCGGUUGGGAGAUAUUUCAUGUUUGCAAACAGAUCGGCCUUCUCUUUUUUCUUUUCUUUCCUUUUUUGAGACAGAGUCUCACCCUGUUGCCCAGGCUGAAGUGCAGUGAUCUCGACUCACUGCAACCUCCGCCUCAGCCUCUGGAGUAGCUGGGAUUACAGGCAUGCGCCACCAUGCCUGGCUAAUUUUGUAUUUGUUAAUAGAGACAGGUUUUUGCCAUGUUGGCCAGGCUGGUCUCGAACUCUGGACCUCAGGUGUUCCACCCGACUCGACCUCCCAAAGUGCUGGGAUUACAGGUGUGAGUCGCCCGAGCCACAGCACCGGGCCUGGCCUCCUUUUCAAUUGCUACAUAGUAAGUAUUCCAGAGUACUGAUUGCUAUUAAGUUACUUCUCUAAUCCCCCACUGAUGGAUAGUUAGUGCAAAACAUUGGAAACAGUUGCAGACAGCCCUGCCGCCGGCAUUCUUGAAUUGUGUAAGCUCCAGACCUUUUUUCUGGGUACAUCACCUCCAGGAAGAACUGCUGGCUGGGUUAUCGGGUGGUGGAUGCACUUAGAAUGUUAUUAGAAAAUGUCAAAUUGCCCAAUUUACACUCCUGCCACUCCAAAUGGGGGCAUGCCUCACACCCCUGCGUGGUCCAGUACACAAUGAAUGCUCAUUUUGUGAAGUCACAGGGUCAAAUCUUUCUCCGUGCCUCAUCCCACUUAAUCCUUGCAACAUUCUCAAGAGGCGGGUAGACGGGGUGUGGCCACUACCAUCAUAUCCAUUGCACAGUUGGAAACAGACUCAGCGAGGUUACUUUGCUGGAGGUCAACCACAGUGAGGCAUGGGGCCCGGCUUAGCUUUGAAUCCAGGUCAGAAAGCACCAAAGCUCAUUCUCUCCCAUACAUUUUAGGGAACUCGGGGAGAGGGACCCUAACUAUUCCGAAGGCCUUGCCCCUUGGCAAAGGUUUGUUGAUUGUGAUGGGAAUAGACCUACGGUGGCGGGGUGGAGGCUCUUGCUGCUUUACCCUAUGUUCUCGGUUCUCCUCCUUUGCAAAACGGAUCGCUAUGUCUCCUUGCUUGGCACUUUGCAAAUUGGGGAACGCUAAGCCCACAUUCCGGCCACGGGUUUCGAACCUCCAGCCUGCACGUUCCCGGCCGGUGCUGAUGCUGUGCUGGGUCUCACGUACUCAGCCGCCG
Molecule: long non-coding RNA, 7666 nt
Filed under: Homo sapiens (human)
Lineage: Eukaryota; Metazoa; Chordata; Mammalia; Primates; Hominidae
Description: HSALNT0395870
Source: RNAcentral